AGACUCGUAGCUCAGGGGUAGAGCACUACAUUGACACUGUAGGGGUCAGGAGUUCAAAUCUCCUCGAGUCUACCA
RNAcentral lists this transfer RNA (75 nucleotides) under Deinococcus sp. RNAcentral's name for it is "tRNA-Val". It matches the Rfam family "tRNA". From Rfam's summary of the family: Transfer RNA (tRNA) molecules are approximately 80 nucleotides in length. Their secondary structure includes four short double-helical elements and three loops (D, anti-codon, and T loops). Lineage: Bacteria; Thermotogati; Deinococcota; Deinococci; Deinococcales; Deinococcaceae. The record is from RNAcentral. RNAcentral also lists the same sequence under 28 other names.